Bombyx mori (domestic silkworm) is the source of this 85-nucleotide non-coding RNA. The record is from Rfam. Lineage: Eukaryota; Metazoa; Arthropoda; Insecta; Lepidoptera; Bombycidae.
UUAAUUCAAAUUUGUAUGGAAUUGAAACAGCUUCCCUUCGUUUGCCGCUAGGGGCGCUGUUCCAACUCCAUACAAAUUUGAGUUA